This 45-nucleotide non-coding RNA is filed under the name Schistosoma haematobium. The record is from RNAcentral. Lineage: Eukaryota; Metazoa; Platyhelminthes; Trematoda; Strigeidida; Schistosomatidae.
AUUUAACUGAUGUGUCCCAAAUAGGACGAAACUUGUGUCCUGGAU